Molecule: ribosomal RNA, 400 nt
Filed under: uncultured bacterium
Lineage: Bacteria
Description: bacterial SSU rRNA
Rfam family: Bacterial small subunit ribosomal RNA
Source: RNAcentral
GGGGAAUAUUGCACAAUGGGGGAAACCCUGAUGCAGCAACGCCGCGUGAGUGAUGACGGCCUUCGGGUUGUAAAGCUCUGUCUUCAGGGACGAUAAUGACGGUACCUGAGGAGGAAGCCACGGCUAACUACGUGCCAGCAGCCGCGGUAAUACGUAGGUGGCGAGCGUUGUCCGGAUUUACUGGGCGUAAAGGGAGCGUAGGCGGACUUUUAAGUGAGAUGUGAAAUACCCGGGCUCAACUUGGGUGCUGCAUUUCAAACUGGAAGUCUAGAGUGCAGGAGAGGAGAAUGGAAUUCCUAGUGUAGCGGUGAAAUGCGUAGAGAUUAGGAAGAACACCAGUGGCGAAGGCGAUUCUCUGGACUGUAACUGACGCUGAGGCUCGAAAGCGUGGGGAGCAAAC